GGUUGUCUCACCUUAAACUUCAAUCUAGAUUUAUUUUCAUGUCCCUGGGAUGUUCAGGAUUUUGUGAUAUCAGUGCAGAGACAAGAAAGUCUGAAAUGUAUCUCUGGCACCUUUGAUCAAAGAAAGAAGCGUGCACAAUGCUGUUUGUCAGACUGUUUUUACAACUGUCUGUUGUCGUCCCCGCAGGCUCCCAGUGUGGUCGGAUGAGGCAUAAAGAAAAUGCCCGAGCUCCAUCGUUUUCUUCUGGAGCGCUCGGCUUUAUACCACAACCUGGAAUACGAUUCAUCGGAGGAGAAGAAUCCCCGUCUGAUAUUCUAUAACGAAAAGGACGAGGUUGUAAAGACUGUUCCCGUGAAGGAAAUGAAGGCAGACGAGAUCAGCAGCCUGCUGGACUCACUAGGUUUCUACAAGAGGUCCCAGAAAGGGGAAGAGGUGCCAGAGGAGUUCCAGCAUUUCCCCCUGCUCCCCCCCAGGGACGAGCUGUGAUGACACCUUGUGGCCGAACUCUGCCGCUGCACCCCGGUCACAUUAAUGACGAGUGGGGCCCCAAGGCCAAAACGAUAAGCCAGGCACCAUUCUGAGAACUCGCUGACUGGGUGCGGUGUGCAGCGUGUUAGUCAUUGCUGUGUCACUCUGUUUAUAUACUUUCAAUAAAAAGCUUCA
Molecule: long non-coding RNA, 663 nt
Filed under: Cottoperca gobio
Lineage: Eukaryota; Metazoa; Chordata; Actinopteri; Perciformes; Bovichtidae
Description: lncRNA (ENSCGOG00000004635.1)
Source: RNAcentral